RNAcentral lists this microRNA precursor (93 nucleotides) under Vigna radiata var. radiata (mung bean). RNAcentral's name for it is "pre miRNA MIR477". The record is from RNAcentral. Lineage: Eukaryota; Viridiplantae; Streptophyta; Magnoliopsida; Fabales; Fabaceae.
AAAUCAUAAGUUUUCGUACCUAGGUAUCCAAUAUUUUUUGUUACGUUAACAAAUCACAAAAUAUUGGAUACCUAGGUACGAAAACUUAUGAUU